Molecule: ribosomal RNA, 439 nt
Filed under: uncultured bacterium
Lineage: Bacteria
Description: partial 16S ribosomal RNA
Rfam family: Bacterial small subunit ribosomal RNA
Source: RNAcentral
CUACGGGACGCUGCAGUGAGGAAUAUUGCACAAUGGAGGAAACUCUGAUGCAGCAACGCCGCGUGGAGGAUGACGCAUUUCGGUGUGUAAACUCCUUUUAUAUGUCAAGAAAAUGACGGUAGCAUAUGAAUAAGCACCGGCUAACUCCGUGCCAGCAGCCGCGGUAAUACGGAGGGUGCAAGCGUUACUCGGAAUCACUGGGCGUAAAGGACGCGUAGGCGGGAUAUCAAGUCAGGUGUGAAAUCCUACAGCUUAACUGUAGAACUGCACUUGAAACUGGUAACCUAGAGUAUGGGAGGGGGAGAUGGAAUUAGUAGUGUAGGGGUAAAAUCCGUAGAUAUCACUAGGAAUACCUAAAGCGAAGGCGAUCUCCUGGAACAUAACUGACGCUAAGGCGUGAAAGCGUGGGGAGCAAACAGGAUUAGAUACCCGGGUAGUC